Molecule: long non-coding RNA, 2292 nt
Organism: Physeter macrocephalus (sperm whale)
Lineage: Eukaryota; Metazoa; Chordata; Mammalia; Artiodactyla; Physeteridae
Exons: 5
Source: RefSeq, a predicted model, not a curated record
UGUGUGUGCGUGCGUGUGUGAGUGUGUGUGCGCGCGCCCCGGGGGCAGGGAGGCGGGGGGCUGCGGCGGGCGGCGGAGCGCGGGGGCUGGUUCCUGGUCCCCGGGAGAAGCCAAGAAGAUCUCGUCCCGGAUGAGAUUCAGCGGUUCCCCACUCUGGGUGACCUUGGGCAAGCCCCUCUCCUGUCAUUACGGAACGCAUGCUCUGUGCCAGACACUGUGUUAAAAACCCUGGGAUUACCACCACGAGAGAUAGAAUGGCAGCCGGGCUUGGAUGAUGGCCCAAGCCAUCAGAUCAGGAGAACCUAAAAGAAACACUGAACCACACCGAUUCCCUGCAGCCUGCCAGGGACGUGGUAGCUGCCCUGCCAAGAGCUAUCCUGGGAGGGCUAUUGAAAGAGCUUUGAGCACUUGAGCGGCUCUGCACCCAGCAUUUGGAUGGAGAAAGGGAUAGGCGAGAAAGCCAAGUGUCUACCCACAGAAGAGGAUUCAGGAAUGCUUUCAGCAAGAGUCCUGGUUGCCAUGCAGUGGCAUUUGAAACGACCGCAACUCUGCAUUCCAUCUUUGAUAAAAAUAAGUUGCUACUUCUAAACAAAACUGCCUAGUUGGUUUCUGGCCAAGCUGGGACCUCGAACUGCAAAUCGCGGGUGAAGGUGGAAAAACAAACUUUUCAGCAUUGGCUCAUAGCAGGCUGUAAUGCUUUCUGCUUCCCCCGAGCCCUUUGGAAAACUUGACCACAGCCAGUGGGACCAAGGGAAUGUGCACUUUUCUAAUGGGCCCAAAAAGAGGAUGGUUGCCAGGAAAGCCUUUCCCAUGGGGCGGGGGCAGGGCACCGGGGACAGCUGAACUCCCACAUUUGGCCACAGCAGCCAUGGCGUGCAGGCUUUAAAAUGUGCUCUCAGCUAACCUUUUACUCUGAGCAGGGCUGCAGUGAGGCAAGCCUGCAAGCCCAGGGAUGAAGGCGGGCAUUUCUGAGGGAUUGCACGGCUGCUGACUUGCGCCCUUGUGUGUGAAAGGCUCAGAACUGCACCGGGGCUGGUGCCUGUAGGGGCCUCUGGAAGACUCAGGAAGGUCGGGUGAAGUUUUAGCCCUUAACUUUAAACCCAGGACAUGGGUUUGCUGGGCUUGCUGAUAGCUGCUCAAAUUGUGACAUCAGAUCAAGUUUCUCAAAAACUCAAAAACAAAAACAAUGCAACUAACCAAGAGAAUCAUUUGGAUAAAACUUAGGGCCAGAAAGUGAUAUGGGAUGAAUGUAGAAGGCAUAUUUUAAAUCAAAGUCGCUGUCAUUGUUACCCUUGCUUAUUUUCCUCGGCUUAUAGGAAAGGGGUAGGGGAGGCAAAGUAAGAGACCUAACAGGUGGCUUAAUGGGUCCGUUCGUUGAAUGCAUAGGAAAAUUGAGCCUAGGAAGAAGUGACUGGACUAAGGUUUAACAGCCUCCCCAGAGAGGGAAGAGAAGGCCAGAAUUAGGCUCGAGUUUCCUACCCACCAGUCCAGAAACCCACCCCUCUGUAUCUGUAUGAGAAUAACGUUUUGAAAUAUCAGCUACAGCAAGUGACUAACAUUACCACCAAAGAUGGAUUUUCUGGUUGAGAACCAGAGCUACCUGCUGGUAGGUGAGUGUGCUGGUGUGACAGAGUAUGCCCAGCACACAGCGUGGUUAAAUGCCGGGCUUGCUGCACCGUGAUUCCCUCUAGAAUUUGCUCACCACCCUGUGACCGCUGGAAAAGAAGAGAUCUUGAUUUCUGAGUUCCAGGAGGCAGGAAGCUGCUCGCAGGGGCCACACAGAAUAGUAGAGGGAGAGGUGAGACAAAGAAUGAAUUUUUCCAAGUGGUAGAGAGAUGGUAUUUGCAUGUGAGAUACACAUUUUCCUUUUGUGUAUCAGGCUUAGGGAACAAGAAAAGACAGUCCGGGCAGCUGCCACAACUGCCACUUAAGACUCUGGUGGGUUCUAGCAUUUCGGGAGCUUCUGGUCUCUUUCACAGAGUUGGAGGGUACCUGUCUUCUUGUCUUGUAGUAUUUGACAGUGGACAAGGCACUUUAUAGUUCAUUACAGCAUUUUGUCCUCAUAUAUAGCCUUAUAACCUAGCCUAGAAAGACAUGGUGGAAGGCCCAGGGAUGGGGAGAGAGAGGAUUCAAGUGAUUAGUUCAGGAGACCAUGGGCUGUUGAGGGCACAGAAUAUAGGAUAGACAAGCUUCCUGGAAAGUUGUACCUCUAGAGAAACAGGGCAGGGAGCUUAGAGGCCAGGAGAGAACAAACUUUCCUUUCUCAGCCACCGGCAAGAAUAAGAUGUCAAG